Molecule: long non-coding RNA, 225 nt
Filed under: Felis catus (domestic cat)
Lineage: Eukaryota; Metazoa; Chordata; Mammalia; Carnivora; Felidae
Description: lncRNA (ENSFCAG00000050895.1)
Source: RNAcentral
AAUACCUGAAAACAAGGGAAAAUCAGCCAGGGUGGUGAUGAGAUCUGCUUUCUCUCUUCUUACAUCAGUGAGCUGGGCGGUAUCGUGCAUAGUGGUGAUGAUGACAGGUUGAUUAGUAGGGCCAGACCAAGUGUGAAAUCGUUCACACCACUGCUCUGUUUCCAGGAGCCACGGUGAGAAGACAACCUCAAUAAAGAAAACAAAUGAGCUUUACGCUUUGUUUCG